AUAAUAUAGAAUUCUAUUCGAACGUUAGAAAAUAGAAAGUUCCAGGUUGUUGAUUUCAUCCUCGUUUGCUGUCAUUAAACAAUCAAAGAACCAACAAAACAUAAACACUUUCGACGCAAAAGGUGAGUCUUCUUUGCUUAUACAUGAAACUGUUCCUCCUUUGCAUGUUCUUAAUAUUAAUAAAAUCAUGUAUUGAUUACUGAUCCGCCAAUUGUUUGUUCAAGUGCCCCUGUGAAUAUUGAAUUCCCUCGAUUGUGCUUAAGUUGUUUUGGUCUCCAUAUAAAAACAAAUGCCUCAAGAGUCAAGAAGACUUAAGAGGUUGUUCCCAGAUCCUACAGACUUGCAAAAAAUCUAUGCUAAAUUUGGAGCUUUUCCAAUAUAAAAUCGGUAUUUAAAUCAACCUCAUGUCAUGGAAGGGAGGAUAACAGAAAGUUCAGUUUCUUGGCGGGCUAACCAUAGAACCAGCAUACCACAUUACCACUGUUACAAGUUUUAGCAUUCAAAUUACUUGAACAACCAGCUUCUUUUUCAUGUACGGAAAGAAAUUGGAGUACUUAUUCGCUAAUCCAAACGGUGAAGAGAAACAUGUGUGCAACAUCAAGAAUUGAAGGCUUAGUUUUUUUUUUGGCAUACUAAUCUCCGGGUGCUAUCGCGCAAGGAAGAUGAAUAUGUUAACAGACCUUCAAAAUAUCGGGAUAUUUGUGGAGACAGGUUUGAUCCCGGUGGACAUAUUGGAGAAUUUGCCCAGCUAUCGCUUGAUGAACCAGAAUUUGAAGCCAUGAUACAGGAAAGAGAGGAGGAUGACAUCUAACUUGAUUGAAGAUUAGGUUGCUCUGUCUUGUUGCUUUCAUGUUCUAUCUUUUCGCUUCCAUAAUUGUUGUCAUGCUCUGUUUUGCUUAUUCCGGAUUUGUCUUGAUGCUUAUGGUCCAGAUGAACUUUCCUCCAGAAAACUUUGUUCUGGAUGCUGGAAUGAAUUAUUCUAUGCAUACAGAGGUAUGAAAUAUAGGGUAUCGAGGUGGUGUUAGGAGUAACGUAAGAUGCGCUGCAUUUGUUAGUAAUCAAUCUUUAUGAAGGGAAAAGCAGCUAAAUGACCUUGAAAAGCCUGAUCUCUGGUUGAGUGUUAUGGGCCAAAUUAUACAGAGAUGACAUUGGGCCCAAAAUGAACGAGUCGAGAAAUUUGAGAGCAGCCCACCACUAUCUCUUAAUAAACGAAACAAUCAUGGUAACAAACGGUGGGUAGGAGGAUACCCUCAAUCCUGUAAAGUCUGUGAAUGAUAUCCAACGCUGAUUUUGGGAGACGGGGGGAGGAGAAGGGUCAGGAAUCACAUGGAUGUUGGUCAGGGCCUCAGGAAUCAGGGGUCACUACUCACUGUCCCAUGGUCCUACAUUUGUCAUCUUAUUUUUUCUUAUUAUGAAUUUUUAUACUUUAAAUCUUUCUUUCAUAUUAUCAGCAAUAGCAAGUCUAAUGAUAGAAGCAAAGUGAUCAUGGGGAUGGGGUGUUUGGCUCUUCUGGAUUUAUAAGUAGAAGCAUUUAUCUGUACUGUUUGGGUAAAAAGUGAAUAAGCAUUUAUAAACAGUUAGGAAUGUUAGAUUUUGUUUCA
This is a long non-coding RNA of Daucus carota subsp. sativus, 1601 nucleotides long. RefSeq lists it as uncharacterized. The record is from RefSeq and is a predicted model, not a curated record. NCBI's taxonomy places the organism in Eukaryota, Viridiplantae, Streptophyta, Magnoliopsida, Apiales, Apiaceae. The transcript has 4 exons.